GUCUUGUAAUUGGAAUGAUGGUGACCUAAACCCUCACCAGAGUAACAAUUGGAGGGCAAGUCUGGUGCCAGCAGCCGCGGUAAUUCCAGCUCCAAUAGCGUAUAUUAAACUUGUUGCAGUUAAAAAGCUCGUAGUUGAAUUUUUGCGUGGUGUUAAUAUUGACUGAUGUCGAGAUUGCACUUCGCUUUUGGGAUUUUUCCCUUUUUACUUUGAGAAAAUUAGAGUGUUUCAAGCAGACUUUUGUCUUGAAUACUUCAGCAUGGAAUAAUAGAGUAGGACUUUGGUUCUAUUUUGUUGGUUUGUGAACCUUAGUAAUGGUUAAUAGGAACGGUUGGGGGCAUUCGUAUUUAACUGUCAGAGGUGAAAUUCUUAGAUUUGUUAAAGACGAACUACUGCGAAAGCAUUUGCCAAGGACGUUUUCAUUAAUCAAGAACGAA
This 437-nucleotide ribosomal RNA is filed under the name Babesia capreoli. RNAcentral's name for it is "SSU rRNA". It matches the Rfam family "Eukaryotic small subunit ribosomal RNA", at positions 500 to 987 of the family's 1831-position model. The record is from RNAcentral. Lineage: Eukaryota; Apicomplexa; Aconoidasida; Piroplasmida; Babesiidae.